RNAcentral lists this ribosomal RNA (253 nucleotides) under uncultured bacterium. RNAcentral's name for it is "partial 16S ribosomal RNA". It matches the Rfam family "Bacterial small subunit ribosomal RNA", at positions 524 to 776 of the family's 1533-position model. The record is from RNAcentral.
UACGGAGGGGGCUAGCGUUGUUCGGAAUUACUGGGCGUAAAGCGCACGUAGGCGGCUUUGCAAGUUAGAGGUGAAAGCCCGGAGCUUAACUCCGGAAUUGCCUUUAAAACUGCAUCGCUAGAAUUGUGGAGAGGUGAGUGGAAUUCCGAGUGUAGAGGUGAAAUUCGUAGAUAUUCGGCGGAACACCAGUGGCGAAGGCGACUCACUGGCCCGAUACUGACGCUGAGGCGCGAAAGCGUGGGGAGCAAACAGG